GACGAACGCUGGCGGCGUGCUUAACACAUGCAAGUCGAACGAAGCUUGAUUACGGAUUCUUCGGAUGAAGUAUGAUAUGACUGAGUGGCGGACGGGUGAGUAACGCGUGAGUAACCUGCCCUUCAGAGGGGGAUAGCGUUUGGAAACGAACGGUAAUACCGCAUAAUGUAUUUUGACCGCAUGAUCGAAAUACCAAAGAUUUAUCGCUGAAGGAUGGACUCGCGUCUGAUUAGGUAGUUGGUGGGGUAACGGCCUACCAAGCCGACGAUCAGUAGCCGGACUGAGAGGUUGAUCGGCCACAUUGGGACUGAGACACGGCCCAGACUCCUACGGGAGGCAGCAGUGGGGAAUAUUGCACAAUGGGCGCAAGCCUGAUGCAGCAACGCCGCGUGAAGGAAGACGGUUUUCGGAUUGGAAACUUCUGUUCUUAGUGAAGAAUAAUGACGGUAGCUAAGGAGCAAGCCACGGCUAACUACGUG
RNAcentral lists this ribosomal RNA (479 nucleotides) under uncultured bacterium. Its description in RNAcentral is "partial 16S ribosomal RNA". It matches the Rfam family "Bacterial small subunit ribosomal RNA", at positions 28 to 507 of the family's 1533-position model. The record is from RNAcentral.